AGUGAACGCUGGCGGUAGGCCUAACACAUGCAAGUCGAACGGCAGCACAAUAAGAGCUUGCUCUUACGGGUGGCGAGUGGCGGACGGGUGAGGAAUACAUCGGAAUCUACUUUUUCGUGGGGGAUAACGUAGGGAAACUUACGCUAAUACCGCAUACGACCUACGGGUGAAAGCAGGGGAUCUUCGGACCUUGCGCGAUUGAAUGAGCCGAUGUCGGAUUAGCUAGUUGGCGGGGUAAAGGCCCACCAAGGCGACGAUCCGUAGCUGGUCUGAGAGGAUGAUCAGCCACACUGGAGCUGAGACACGGUCCAGACUCCUACGGGAGGCAGCAGUGGGGAAUAUUGGACAAUGGGCGCAAGCCUGAUCCAGCCAUACCGCGUGGGUGAAGAAGGCCUUCGGGUUGUAAAGCCCUUUUGUUGGGAAAGAAAAGCAGCAGGUUAAUACCCCGCUGUUCUGACGGUACCCAAAGAAUAAGCACCGGCUAACUUCGUG
RNAcentral lists this ribosomal RNA (492 nucleotides) under uncultured bacterium. RNAcentral's name for it is "partial 16S ribosomal RNA". It matches the Rfam family "Bacterial small subunit ribosomal RNA", at positions 29 to 507 of the family's 1533-position model. The record is from RNAcentral.